ACACCGUUGGUGAAGUGGUUAUCAUGCUUGCCUUCCAUUGUAUAGUGUUGCAUUCUUCAAGCAAGCGGCUCGGGUUCGAUUCCCGAACGGUGUA
Stygiomarasmius scandens is the source of this 94-nucleotide non-coding RNA. The record is from the annotation of a GenBank genome assembly. NCBI's taxonomy places the organism in Eukaryota, Fungi, Basidiomycota, Agaricomycetes, Agaricales, Campanellaceae.